RNAcentral lists this ribosomal RNA (260 nucleotides) under uncultured archaeon. Its description in RNAcentral is "partial 16S ribosomal RNA". It matches the Rfam family "Archaeal small subunit ribosomal RNA", at positions 748 to 1008 of the family's 1478-position model. The record is from RNAcentral.
CAGCCGUAAACAAUGUGCGUUAGGUGUGUCGGUAACCACGUGUUACUGAUGCGCCGAAGAGAGAUCGUGAAACGCACCACCUGGGAAGUACGGUCGCAAGGCUGAAACUUAAAGGAAUUGGCGGGGGAGCACCGCAACGGGAGGAGCGUGCGGUUUAAUUGGAUUCAACACCGUAAAACUCACCAGGGAAGACUGUUACAUGAAGGCCGAGAUGAAGACUCUGCUAGAUUUCAGAGAGGAGGUGCAUGGCGUCAGUGACU